CUUGGAACUGAAUCAACGUCUCCAGCUAGCACCCUGCACCUUUCUGCAGCCUUUUUCAGGAUACUUCCAGCUCAGACGUGUACAGAAAGUAAAAUCUGUUACAGUGUGGAAGCACCAGCACCGAUCAGAUGAAAAUCCCCUAGGGAACUGCCUGUAAGUCUGACCAACAUUUUGUACUCAUACAAAAUGAGUUGUGUUUUAAGAUGAAAAGUGU
This 214-nucleotide long non-coding RNA is filed under the name Gopherus evgoodei (Goodes thornscrub tortoise). Its description in RNAcentral is "lncRNA (ENSGEVG00005003659.1)". Lineage: Eukaryota; Metazoa; Chordata; Testudines; Testudinidae. The record is from RNAcentral.